This 1744-nucleotide ribosomal RNA is filed under the name Gastroptychus rogeri. RNAcentral describes it as "SSU rRNA". It matches the Rfam family "Eukaryotic small subunit ribosomal RNA". Lineage: Eukaryota; Metazoa; Arthropoda; Malacostraca; Decapoda; Chirostylidae. The record is from RNAcentral.
GAUUAAGCCAUGCAUGUGUAAGUACAAGCCCAUGAAAGGUGAAACCGCGAAUGGCUCAUUAAAUCAGCUAUAAUUCCUUGGAUCUGUACCACCACUUACUUGGAUAACUGUGGUAAUUCUAGAGCUAAUACAUGCACUUAGUCCCUGACCGCAAGGAAAGGGCGCUUUUAUUAGUUCAAAACCGGUGUUCAGGCUUCGGUCUGUAAACCAACCUUGAUGACUCUGGAUAACUUUGCUGAGCGCACGGUCUCUGUACUGGCGCCGCAUCUUUCAAGUGUCUGCCUUAUCAGCUUGAUUGUAGGUUAUGCGCCUACAAUGGCUAUAACGGGUAACGGGGAAUCAGGGUUCGAUUCCGGAGAGGGAGCCUGAGAAACGGCUACCACAUCUAAGGAAGGCAGCAGGCACGCAAAUUACCCACUCCCGGCACGGGGAGGUAGUGACGAAAAAUAAUGAUGUGAGACUCAUCCGAGGCCUCGCAAUCAGAAUGAGUACACUUUAAAUCCUUAGCGAGGACCAAUUGGAGGGCAAGUCUGGUGCCAGCAGCCGCGGUAAUUCCAGCUCCAAUAGCAUAUAUUAAUGUUGUUGUGGUUAAAAAGCUCAUAGUUGGACUACAGAACGGGGCUGGCAGUUGACCAGUGCCGCAAGGUGCCCUCUGUCACGCCCCAGGAAGCCUGAGAGGCUCCGCCGGCUCUCGCGGGGUGCUCUUGACCGAGUGCCCCGAGUGGCUGGCAUGUUUACUUUGAAAAAAUUAGAGUGCUCAAAGCAGGCAAUAUGAAUGGCCUGAAUGCUUAUGCAUGGAAUAAUGGAAAAGGACCUCGGUUCCAUUUUGUCGGUUUUCUACGGAAUCCGAGGUAAUGACUAAUAGAGACAGUCGGGGGCAUACGUAUUGAGAGGCUAGAGGUGAAAUUCUUGGACCCUCUCAAGACGACCUAAAGCGAAAGCAUUUGCCAAGGAUGUUUUCAUUAAUCAAGAACGAAAGUUAGAGGUUCGAAGGCGAUCAGAUACCGCCCUAGUUCUAACCGUAAACUAUGCUAACCAGCAAUCCGCCGGUGCUAUACCCAUGGCCCGGCGGGCAGCUUCCGGGAAACCAAAGUCUUUGAGUUCCAGGGGAAGUAUGGUUGCAAAGCUGAAACUUAAAGGAAUUGACGGAAGGGCACCACCAGGAGUGGAGCCUGCGGCUUAAUUUGACUCAACACGGGGAACCUCACCAGGCCCAGACACUGGAAGGAUUGACAGAUUGAGAGCUCUUUCUUGAUUCAGUGGGUGGUGGUGCAUGGCCGUUCUUAGUUGGUGGAGUGAUUUGUCUGGUUAAUUCCGAUAACGAACGAGACUCUGGCCUACUAAGUAGUCGACAGAUUUCCGCUUUUAUGUGGUGUCUAGUCGCAAUCUAUCUUCUUAGAGGUAUAAGUGGCAAGUUUAGCCACAUGAGAUUGAGCAAUAACAGGUCUGUGAUGCCCUUAGAUGUUCUGGGCCGCACGCGCGCUACACUGGAAGGAUCAGAGUGUUGUCCCCCUCCGAGAGGAGGGGUAACCCUGACAAACCCUUUCUUGAUUGGGAUUGGGGCUUGCAAUUGUCUCCCAUGAACGAGGAAUUCCUAGUAAGCGCAAGUCAUGAGCUUGCGUUGAUUAUGUCCCUGCCCUUGUACACACCGCCCGUCGCUACUACCGAUUGAAUGAUUUAGUGAGGCCUUCGGACUGGCACCCUUGGAUGGUUGACGGAAAGAUGGCCAAACUUGAUCAUUAGA